GCCACUGUAGCUCAGCAGGUAGAGCAGCUGAUUCGUAAUCAGCAGGUCGGGGGUUCAAAUCCCUCCAGUGGCU
Molecule: transfer RNA, 73 nt
Filed under: Thermoplasmatales archaeon
Lineage: Archaea; Methanobacteriati; Thermoplasmatota; Thermoplasmata; Thermoplasmatales
Also listed under: 3 other names
Description: tRNA-Thr
Rfam family: tRNA
About the family: Transfer RNA (tRNA) molecules are approximately 80 nucleotides in length. Their secondary structure includes four short double-helical elements and three loops (D, anti-codon, and T loops).
Source: RNAcentral